Molecule: microRNA, 24 nt
Filed under: Ciona intestinalis (vase tunicate)
Lineage: Eukaryota; Metazoa; Chordata; Ascidiacea; Phlebobranchia; Cionidae
Description: Cin-Mir-4052_3p (mature (guide))
Source: RNAcentral
UCACUUGAAACCCAGGACCUGUUG